CCUACGGGUGGCAGCAGUGAGGAAUAUUGGUCAAUGGCCGCAAGGCUGAACCAGCCAAGUAGCGUGAGGGAAGACUGCCCUAUGGGUUGUAAACCUCUUUUAUGCGGGGACAAAGGUGUCCACGCGUGGAUGUUUGCAGGUACCGCAUGAAUAAGGACCGGCUAAUUCCGUGCCAGCAGCCGCGGUAAUACGGAAGGUGCGGGCGUUAUCCGGAUUUAUUGGGUUUAAAGGGAGCGUAGGCGGGUCGUUAAGUGUGCCGGGAAAUUUUGGGGCUCAACCAUGAGCGUGCGGUGCGAACUGGAUACCUUGAGUGCGCGGAAGGCAUGCGGAAUGCGUGGUGUAGCGGUGAAAUGCUUAGAUAUCACGAAGAACUCCGAUUGCGAAGGCAGCCUGCCGGCGCGUUACUGACGCUGAAGCACGAAAGCGUGGGUAUCGAACAGGAUUAGAUACCCCAGUAGUC
This 460-nucleotide ribosomal RNA is filed under the name uncultured bacterium. RNAcentral describes it as "partial 16S ribosomal RNA". It matches the Rfam family "Bacterial small subunit ribosomal RNA", at positions 338 to 795 of the family's 1533-position model. The record is from RNAcentral.